This 372-nucleotide ribosomal RNA is filed under the name uncultured bacterium. Its description in RNAcentral is "bacterial SSU rRNA". It matches the Rfam family "Bacterial small subunit ribosomal RNA", at positions 525 to 896 of the family's 1533-position model. The record is from RNAcentral.
ACGGAGGGAGCUAGCGUUGUUCGGAAUUACUGGGCGUAAAGCGUACGUAGGCGGUUAUUCAAGUCAGAGGUGAAAGCCUGGAGCUCAACUCCAGAACUGCCUUUGAAACUAGAUAGCUAGAAUCACGGAGAGGUGAGUGGAAUUCCGAGUGUAGAGGUGAAAUUCGUAGAUAUUCGGAAGAACACCAGUGGCGAAGGCGGCUCACUGGACGUGUAUUGACGCUGAGGUACGAAAGCGUGGGGAGCAAACAGGAUUAGAUACCCUGGUAGUCCACGCCGUAAACGAUGAUAACUAGCUGCCAGGGUUCACAGAACUUUGGUGGCGCAGCUAACGCAUUAAGUUAUCCGCCUGGGGAGUACGGUCGCAAGAUUA